This 797-nucleotide ribosomal RNA is filed under the name uncultured Glomus. RNAcentral describes it as "SSU rRNA". It matches the Rfam family "Eukaryotic small subunit ribosomal RNA", at positions 314 to 1112 of the family's 1831-position model. Lineage: Eukaryota; Fungi; Glomeromycota; Glomeromycetes; Glomerales; Glomeraceae. The record is from RNAcentral.
AUCAACUUUCGAUGGUAGGAUAGAGGCCUACCAUGGUGGUAACGGGUAACGGGGUGUUAGGGCACGACACCGGAGAGGGAGCCUGAGAAACGGCUACCACAUCCAAGGAUGGCAGCAGGCGCGCAAAUUACCCAAUCCCGACACGGGGAGGUAGUGACAAUAAAUAACAAUACGGGGUUCUUUCGGAUCUCGUAAUUGGAAUGAGUACAAUUUAAAUCUCUUAACGAGGAACAAUUGGAGGGCAAGUCUGGUGCCAGCAGCCGCGGUAAUUCCAGCUCCAAUAGCGUAUAUUAAAGUUGUUGCAGUUAAAAAGCUCGUAGUUGAAUUUCGGGAUUAGUAGGUUGGUCAUGCCUCUGGUAUGUACUGGUCUCACUGAUUCCUCCUUCCUUAUGAACCGUAAUGCCAUUAAUUUGGUGUUGCGGGGAAUUUGGACUGUUACUUUGAAAAAAUUAGAGUGUUUAAAGCAGGCUAACGCUUGAAUACAUUAGCAUGGAAUAAUGAAAUAGGACGUUCGAUCUUAUUUUGUUGGUUGCUAGGAUUGACGUAAUGAUUAAUAGGGAUAGUUGGGGGCAUUAGUAUUCAAUUGUCAGAGGUGAAAUUCCUGGAUUUAUUGAAGACUAACUACUGCGAAAGCAUUUGCCAAGGAUGUUUUCAUUAAUCAAGAACGAAAGUUAGGGGAUCGAAGACGAUCAGAUACCGUCGUAGUCUUAACCAUAAACUAUGCCGACUAGGGAUCGGAUGAUGUUAAUUUUUUAAUGACUCAUUCGGCGCCUUACGGGAAACCAAAGUGUUUGGGU